This is a non-coding RNA of Camelina sativa (false flax), 241 nucleotides long. The record is from RefSeq and is a predicted model, not a curated record. NCBI's taxonomy places the organism in Eukaryota, Viridiplantae, Streptophyta, Magnoliopsida, Brassicales, Brassicaceae.
GUGACACGUGGUGUUGACUCCGGCACAACACCAGUUUCCAUGGAUGAAAUGUAUGCCUAAUGACAGAAACAAAGACAUUCUCAAUCCCCCUGGUUUGUUUGUCUGAUGAAAGAAAGCACCCUGCUGCUUAUUGUGAAGAUGCUAAAUUCAAGGGGUGGCCCUUUGAUUCUUCAAGUUGAAGUGGAACCACUCUAUCUCCCCCGUAGCUUGUUUGUGGUACGCCGCAGUCUUGUUGCUGUUG